Non-coding RNA from Chlorocebus sabaeus (green monkey), 96 nucleotides. It matches the Rfam family "Y RNA". From Rfam's summary of the family: Y RNAs are components of the Ro ribonucleoprotein particle (Ro RNP), in association with Ro60 and La proteins. The Y RNAs and Ro60 and La proteins are well conserved, but the function of the Ro RNP is not known. NCBI's taxonomy places the organism in Eukaryota, Metazoa, Chordata, Mammalia, Primates, Cercopithecidae. The record is from Rfam.
GGCUGGUCCAAAUGCAGUGGUUACAACUAACUGAUCACAGCCAGUUACAGAUUUCUUUGUUUCUUCACUCCUACUGCUUCACCUGACUAGCCUAAA